CUCUGAGCUGUCAGCACAGAGCCCCAUGCAAGCCUGGAACUCAUGGCCCGUGACAUCAUGACCUGAGCCGAAGUCGGACACGUAACCGAACGGGCUACCGGCGCCCCACUUGACUUCCUUAAACAGCAAUAUUUUUGGUGUUUAUGCUACUGCAUUUUCUAGAUCACUUCCUAUUCUCAGAAUGGGUGUGACGAUCCUGUGGCGGAAUUGACGCCAUAAUUCUGGUUUCAAAACAAUAAGGUAACGUAGAUAGGUUUCUAUUUCUUCCCUCUGGGAACCUGUGGUGGAGGUUAAGCCUUAUCCCCGGGAAAAGUUAGAGAACAGGAGGAGGAGGAAAAGGGAAUGCUCGUGUCACUCUUUGAUUAAGUGCCUCGUGAGUGGGACAGACAGUGAGUUCUUUUAAUCUACUCCCACCCAGGGUGGACGAGCAGGGAGUGUCUUCCCUUAUUAACACAGAAAGUAAUGGGCUGAGAGUUCACUCAGGCACUUUGGAGGGGCCAGAUCAAGUAGUCCUGGUGUGGUUCCCCCGGGGUGGGGUGGGUGCAAAGGGUUUUGCCACUCUAGGCUGGCCCUAGGAGUACUUUUCUCCCAACGAAGCUCUGGCCAGGGGUGGACUCCACGUCUCCUUGCUGGUUUCCCUUAGCAGGGUUGAGAUAGGAUCCACUCGCCUGAACAUCAAGGGAAGGCGACAGGGCGGUAAGCACAGAAGGAACGAGAGUGUGAACUCAGCCCAGGGACUCUGUCCCGCCAUUGCUGGCUCCCCCUCAAGUCUCUGUCCAAAGCUCAUGCUAGAAGAGCUGGCUGCCGGCAGCCCCAAGGACUCCUCAACGGGGCUUUGAUUCUCCGCUCGGUGGGGGUGCCAUUUUGUCACUCUGUGCAGAUGCGGCAGAUCGUCUGCCUCCUGCAGUUUCCCUUGCAGGAAAUCAGGACCUUCUUCUGACUUCCUUCCGCCUCCCGGUUCUUGAUCCAGAGGGUGGAGGUUGGGGAAACGGCCUGGAAACAGCAGAGGAGGCCAGCAGCUCUGCAGGGCGAGGCCCGACAUCUCACCGCAUUAACCCCGCGAACUCAGGCCAGGCGACGAGGCUGAGCCAUUAAUGCCUAAUGAUGUCUCCUUGUCUUCCAAUAACAAACCAUCUCACCGGUCGGUUUUAUAGGGGACCAGCUGUUGUUAAUUGGGGAAGACGAGCAUGAAAUGGCCGCUUUCACACCUGACCGAGACAGAGCAACAGCAUCAAGGGGCAAAUGGAACCCGCCUGCUGCAGGCAGGGGGUUCCUCAGCUCUGCCUGGGCCAAGGAGAGGCCCAGAGACAGCAGUGGGCUGCCAUCCCUGUGGCAUCCUCAGCGGGCACAACACUUACUAAUAAAAGAGAGUGGGGCUCGUCGAACAUUCGGCCCCUCCUCCCGCAGCCCAAGAGCAUCUCCUCUUGCUUUUGCGCGCGUCUCUAGCCAGCUGGGGGGUAGCCCAAAGCCAGGGCCCCAUGUUGCACAGCCAGAGCCUCGCCCAGCAUCUGGCAUGUUCCAGCUCUGUAGAGGAGGCACGGCUGGGUUCUCGAGCACUGAUCCUGGCCUCUGCUCCCUGGCCACAGGUGACCGGGCCAGGGAUCAGGGGCACCAGCAAGACGUGGCUCCAGGGCCUGGCUCGCACACACAGAGCUGGCUCGAAUGCAUUCUCUCCUUUGCCGUCGCGUCAAAGAGACACAGACAGAGGUGGCCACUCAGCGGCGGGUCCGAAGCAAAAAGUACCGGGGGAUGUGCCGUGAUGGAGAGGGUCGGGCUACCCCUUUGGCCCAGGAGCAAGCCGGCAUGAAGAGGAAAGUGACUCCCGGGACGGGAGACUGGUGCAGGAGGAGCGUGGAGCCCCCACCACGUGCACUUUAACCUCCUAGUCGCUGCGCAUCUCCCGAGACCUGCGCUUGGAAGAUGUUAUAUCAUCCCCGUUUCGCAGAUGGGGGGACUGAAUCUCCAUGAUGUCGAGCAACCUGAUCAUCUUUAUGAAACGGCAGAGCAGGGACUGGAACCAAAUCUGGGCUCUCCUUCUGGUGCUCUUUUAAUGGCCCCGCGCGGUUGCUGUCGGCAUUUGCAGGCCCCUGCGGGUCCUUCCGCGGGCUGGCCGAGGUGGAAAGCUCUGCUCUGGGAGCUCAGGCAGGCUGCCUCGACUCCUGCAGACUGAGAAAAGCACAGGACCCUCUCUCUGCCUACAUUUGCCUUUAUUUUCAGUGUUGCUGCAAAAGAUGGGAAAUACAUUAAAACAUGUACUGUAAAUAAACCAAAUUAAAGUAAAAUUGACUCAUUUAGCAACCAGCCUCCGAUCUUGCAUUAGAGGCAAUUGAAGAGAUUUCACAGAUUUUAGUAACCAGAUAAGAUUAUUAUAUAAACAGACUUCUGCAUUGAAUGAUGAGCCAUAUCUUGAGGAGAAUAUUUGAAAUCAAUAGUAAUACAGACUGAGAAUUAAGUAAUGUGGCUAAGCACCUUUGAAUGAUGCCAUUUUUAAGAGCUGAUUAGAAAUAAAUAUGCCAAUUGCAGCAAGAGCCGAGAGCUGGAAUAAAGUGAUGAUUAAUCAGUUUGGGCCAGGACCCACGGAAGCCAUCUUGGUAUUGCCAGCCCGGGGCUCGCUGGACAGAGCCUGGAAAGCUCGGGGGCCUGAUGGUGGCCCAUCAGAGUCCUUAUGCAGAGACACGGCCCUGCCCACCAAGGGGCUGGCCAUGGCGGCGUGGGGAGGAGGUGCCCAAGCCCGGAGGAUUAACUAUAAGCUGCUUGAACUGCUCACGCAGGGCCAGCCAGAGCGCAGGGAGGAGAUUACAGCUGGGGACACUGACAACCUGGGGAUUGCGUUUGGAAUGCCCAAUUACCAUUCAACUGGGAAAUGAUUGGUCUUUUGGCUGCCCUGUAAUCAUCUCUCACCUGGACAAUUGCACCGGCUUCCCGACGGGUCCCCACGUGAGCUGGCGGAUGCGUUCCAUACCCGGUCACCAUAGUGAUUUUUCCAAAGCACUGCUCAGAUCCUGUCACUCACUUUGAAAAACGCUGCUGCCUUCCUUUUGCCGUUGGGCCAGGUCCAGGUAUCUUAGCUUAGAAUUCAAGGCCCUUCAUGGCCCAGCUGUCCCUACUUGUCUCAUUUCUUCCUAGUCCCCAUUCCUGCCUUAUGAUGGUUCCGGAUGGAAGGCUUUAGGAGUGCCAGGUAACACCCUGUUCUUUGUGGUAGCAUCUCUGCUUCUGCUGGGCCCUCCCCGCCUGCCCUGUCUGCUGAAACCCACCUUUCCCCACCUAAUUCAAAGUCCACCUUGACUGUUCCCCUCCUCCAACCCACGCAGAACCAGCUGCUGUCUCUCGGUUUUUACCCUACCUGAACAAGCCUUUUCCUGUUUCACAUCCAUGUCGUUCACUAUUUCUUUUGUAUCCAGGGAGACUUACGAGCACCUCUGCAGUGCUAUGCACUGUGGUUGUCCCUGAAGACACGGUGAGAGAACCCAGAAGUGGUCCCUGCCUUCCUGGAGCUCAGGUUCACACCAAGCGUUUAAUACUCUAUGCAGCUGUCCCUGCUCUAGUAGGCAAGACAUGCUUCUUUCAUUCAGCUGGCACAAGGCAGGUGCCCAAUGGCGGUUGAAUGAGCGAAUGAGGGACCAAACAAAGGACCGAGUGACAGAGAUGGAUCAGGGAGGGGAGGUUGCAAGGAAGCAAAUUUUUGCUUGGCAGAAGAAACAGGGUUCUGUUGGCUGCCCAGCACUGCCUAAGCUGCCUUCCGCAAGGCUGAGCUCCCAGGAACUAGAGGCAUCCAUGCAGAGGGAGACCAUCUGUCAAGGAGGUUCCAGAAAAGACUCAGAAUUGGCAGUGAGACAAAAGUUGCAGUGCUGUGGGCUCUAGGCCCAGCCCCACCACCGGCUCACUAUUUGACCCGAGGUAGAGCCCAUCCUCUCUUUGGGCCUCCGUUUCUCCAUCUGUAAAAUGAAGACUUUGGACUGCAGGUGGUCAGUCAAGAGCCCUUGGCUACCCUGAAGAAAGCGGAGGAUACUUCUUGAAUGUUGGUGAAAUCUAACCAACAUCAAUGCUGGACUAUGAAUAGUGUUAGGGUGAGGAUAUGUCCUGUGUUGGGUGCAGAGAAAAAUAUAACAGGUGUGGGAUGAUGGGGGAGAAAUUACAUACAAGGUUUUGUAACAAGAGUAUGGUGAGUGUGAGAGACCAUCCCGUGAGCCAUAAGUGUAGGCUGGGAAGGCUUCCUGGAGGAGGUACAACAUUGACCUAAAGGGUGAGUAGGACUUAAACCUUUGAGGAAAGGAGUGAAUUCUGAUCCAUGUGAGAGGAGACCUGAAUCACCAGGGCCACGUGCCAAAGACCUCCCCGUGGGUGCAUUCCCAUGCCACGCCUUCAUCCCUAACCAGGAACGUGGCCAGGGACAGGCCGUAUACAGAAGGCUGAACUUCUUGCUCAAAGGGGGCAGAUGUGGGUUUCUCUUUUCUGUGUUUUGAUCCUUGUUUCUGCCUUCAGUAGGCCUGCAUCCUCUGGCCCCACGAGGCCCUGAAUGUUGGGGUGCAGGGGGCUGAAGCUGAGAUCCCCCAGAAGGACCCGGCUCUGGUCCGCAUGGCUCUGCAGGCUGCCCAGGAUACAGGGGCCCUGAAUUAAGGAAGCUCUCUAGAAGAGGGCUGCCAUACUUGGGUUAGCCAAGAACGGGCAGAGAACCCCAUUCCCUAGGUCAUCUGCCAGGAUCUGGGCUUUUCAGGGGGAGCUUGGGGCGAGGGGGUGGGGAACGGCUGCUUUGCCUGAGCCGCUCGUCUGUGUGAGGCCAUCUGUGUGCCGGCCUGCUCCUUGCUCUUCUGCCUGGCCAUCCAUCUCCAGCGUUCACAGCUCUGUGAGCUCAGGGCUCUGCUGGGACUCUGGGUGAUGGGACCCAUGCGGGGGCAGCUGCUGAGCUGCUGGUGUGGUCAGAAGAGGAGACGAGGGGCCGUGGUGUAGGGUUCUCUGUCCCCCCCCCCCCCCCCCGGUAACUCACCUCCCCCUCCGCUUCCUUCCUUUUUGGGACAACACCCGAGGCCACCAGAAGCUCUCCUAUAGCUCACUACAAGCAUGUAAUAGAUGGGGAAGCUGGGGCUGAGAGAAGGCAGGAGGCUUGCCCAGAUCCCAGGAUGAAUUAGCCAAAGAGCAGAGACUAGAGUCUCUAGAUGCCCUGUCCUGUUUACUCCCUACAGCAGCCUGGUGUCCUGGCCGCGGUGUUCACCCAUGGGACCUUUCUCCCCCUGCACGGCGAAGGGCCCUGGGGUCAGUGCCCGUACUCUUCACGGUGCCCACAGAGUCCCACGGAAGCCAGGCCUUUCUCCCUCCUUCCUCUGCCUCUGCCCUCCCUGCCCUGCCAGCACCAUGUGCCCUGGGCCCUCCGAGGUUCUGCUGUCCGUCCUGGCCCGGCUCUCCGUGUAGCUCAUAUUCAGCACCGUAACCCCCGCAGCUCUUGACGAGUGUUGUGUUGUCACUGAGUCAUAAAUGUGGUUACACGCUUCUA
This is a long non-coding RNA of Herpailurus yagouaroundi (jaguarundi), 5488 nucleotides long. RefSeq lists it as uncharacterized. The record is from RefSeq and is a predicted model, not a curated record. The transcript has 2 exons. Lineage: Eukaryota; Metazoa; Chordata; Mammalia; Carnivora; Felidae.